This 484-nucleotide ribosomal RNA is filed under the name uncultured bacterium. RNAcentral describes it as "partial 16S ribosomal RNA". It matches the Rfam family "Bacterial small subunit ribosomal RNA", at positions 28 to 523 of the family's 1533-position model. The record is from RNAcentral.
GACGAACGCUGGCGGCGUGCUUAACACAUGCAAGUCGAACGAUGAAGCCGGAGCUUGCUCUGGUGAAUUAGUGGCGAACGGGUGAGUAACACGUGAGUAACCUGCCCUUGACUCUGGGAUAACUGCGGGAAACUGUAGCUAAUACCGGAUACGACCCUCGGAGGCAUCUCCUGGGGGUGGAAAGAAUUUCGGUCAAGGAUGGACUCGCGGCCUAUCAGCUAGUUGGUGAGGUAAAGGCUCACCAAGGCGACGACGGGUAGCCGGCCUGAGAGGGUGACCGGCCACACUGGGACUGAGAUACGGCCCAGACUCCUACGGGAGGCAGCAGUGGGGAAUAUUGCACAAUGGGCGCAAGCCCGAUGCAGCAACGCCGCGUGAGGGAUGACGGCCUUCGGGUUGUAAACCUCUUUUAGUAGGGAAGAAGCGAAAGUGACGGUACCUGCAGAAAAAGCACCGGCUAACUACGUGCCAGCAGCCGCCGUAA